This 446-nucleotide ribosomal RNA is filed under the name uncultured bacterium. RNAcentral describes it as "SSU rRNA". It matches the Rfam family "Bacterial small subunit ribosomal RNA", at positions 26 to 518 of the family's 1533-position model. The record is from RNAcentral.
AGAGCGAACGCUGGCGGCAGGCCUAACACAUGCAAGUCGAGCGCCCGUAGCAAUACGGGAGCGGCAGACGGGAUAGUAACACGUGGGAACGCGCCCUUCGGUUCGGAAUAACUCAGGGAAACUUGAGCUAAUACCGGAUACGCCCUUACGGGGAAAGAUUUAUUGCCGAAGGAACGGCCCGCGUCCGAUUAGCUAGUUGGUGAGGUAAUGGCUCACCAAGGCGACGAUCGGUAGCUGGUCUGAGAGGAUGACCAGCAUCACUGGGACUGAGACACGGCCCAGACUCCUACGGGAGGCAGCAGUGGGGAAUAUUGGACAAUGGCGCAAGCCUGAUCCAGCCAUGCCGCGUGGAUGAUGAAGGCCUUAGGGUUGUAAAGUCCUUUUAACGGGGAAGAUAAUGACGGUACCCGUAGAAUAAGCCCGGCUAACUUCGCGCCAGCAGCCGC